This 257-nucleotide unclassified non-coding RNA is filed under the name plant metagenome. Its description in RNAcentral is "partial contains small subunit ribosomal RNA, internal transcribed spacer 1, and 5.8S ribosomal RNA". The record is from RNAcentral.
UUUCCGUAGGUGAACCUGCGGAAGGAUCAUUAACGAGUUAGGGUCUUCUAGGCCCGACCUCCCAACCCUUUGUUUACUGAACCAUUGUUGCCUCGGUGGGUCCGUCUUACGACCGCCGGGGGAUCGCCGCGAGGCGCCCCCUGGCCAGCGCCCACCGAUAGCCCAACCUUUAAAACCCUUUGUGAAUCGUGUCUUAUGUCUAAGUUUAUGAUUAAACAAUCAAAACAAAACUUUCAACAACGGAUCUCUUGGUUCUG